Non-coding RNA from Wilcoxina mikolae CBS 423.85, 88 nucleotides. The record is from the annotation of a GenBank genome assembly. Lineage: Eukaryota; Fungi; Ascomycota; Pezizomycetes; Pezizales; Pyronemataceae.
AACUCGCUAGCUCAAUGGCUAGAGCGUGAGACUUUUACGGCAACAUAUCGCCAUUUCAAGGUUGCGGGUUCGACCCCCGCGUGAGGCU